CCAUAAUGGAGAAACGACAGUCAAAUAAGCGCUCGGUUUUUCGUGGUGAUGAUGAUAGCUGCUUCUGAUAUAUAUAUUUUUAUGUCCCCAAGGUGCUGUUCCAGUAACUUAUGACAUUCCCCGAAACCAACUAGGACCAACUGUCGAGGGAUACACCUGUAGCGCAAAUUCCUGGAUUCUGCAACAGCUUCAGAUGGGAAAGACAGGUUGUCGUAUGGUUUUGCAUGAGGGGAAGGACGUCUGGUAUGACAAUGCUCCUGACUACACGGCAGUCUCCAAUCCCUACCACGAAGCUUUCCGAAACUGCUUCAGCAAUGGUUGCUCGGCUGUAGCCUGCAAUGGAACCAUGAAUUUGUGCUGGCUGAAAAUAUAAACAGUAGAAGAAACGGGACAGAGUUUUGUGAAUGAGAGCAACAGAAAUUACUGGAAAACUGUCUGUCAGUAAAAGCCACAGCAGACUUCCCUAGUUGAGGAGGCAGUUAACUUGCAAUACCAUUCUGUUGUUUUACAGAUAUAAUUUCUUCGAAGUGAGGCGCAAUUUACUAAUCAUAUACACGUAAAUUAAUACUGAGAAUUAAUUACCUAGUAUAUUUGUACACUGCAAAACUCCAGUAAUAUAACGUUGAUGACUAGCUUAUUCGAAGAUGAUUCUUGAUACAUUCUCUGUGGAGUAUUAUGAAUUGAUCUUGUGCACUGCAAUAUGUAUGAAAGUGAAACGUGCACAGAGCACCCAGCCAGCACAACAACUUCAAAUCACUUCGAAGUACUUAACCUUGCCUGUGGAACAUCACUCGUUUUACUUGCCGCUUUUCACCCUUCAUC
This is a long non-coding RNA of Macrobrachium nipponense, 822 nucleotides long. RefSeq lists it as uncharacterized. The record is from RefSeq and is a predicted model, not a curated record. The transcript has 4 exons. NCBI's taxonomy places the organism in Eukaryota, Metazoa, Arthropoda, Malacostraca, Decapoda, Palaemonidae.